GACGAACGCUGGCGGCGUGCUUAACACAUGCAAGUCGAACGGAAAGGCCCUGCUUUUGUGGGGUGCUCGAGUGGCGAACGGGUGAGUAACACGUGAGUAACCUGCCCUUGACUUUGGGAUAACUUCAGGAAACUGGGGCUAAUACCGGAUAGGAGCUCCUGCUGCAUGGUGGGGGUUGGAAAGUUUCGGCGGUUGGGGAUGGACUCGCGGCUUAUCAGCUUGUUGGUGGGGUAGUGGCUUACCAAGGCUUUGACGGGUAGCCGGCCUGAGAGGGUGUCCGGCCACAUUGGGACUGAGAUACGGCCCAGACUCCUACGGGAGGCAGCAGUGGGGAAUAUUGCACAAUGGGCGGAAGCCUGAUGCAGCAACGCCGCGUGCGGGAUGACGGCCUUCGGGUUGUAAACCGCUUUCGCCUGUGACGAAGCGUGAGUGACGGUAAUGGGUAAAGAAGCACCGGCUAACUACGUGCCAGCAGCCGCGGUGAUACGUAGGGUGCGAGCGUUGUCCGGAUUUAUUGGGCGUAAAGGGCUCGUAGGUGGUUGAUCGCGUCGGAAGUGUAAUCUUGGGGCUUAACCCUGAGCGUGCUUUCGAUACGGGUUGACUUGAGGAAGGUAGGGGAGAAUGGAAUUCCUGGUGGAGCGGUGGAAUGCGCAGAUAUCAGGAGGAACACCAGUGGCGAAGGCGGUUCUCUGGGCCUUUCCUGACGCUGAGGAGCGAAAGCGUGGGGAGCGAACAGGCUUAGAUACCCUGGUAGUCCACGCUGUAAACGGUGGGUACUAGGUGUGGGGUCCAUUCCACGGGUUCCGUGCCGUAGCUAACGCUUUAAGUACCCCGCCUGGGGAGUACGGCCGCAAGGCUAAAACUCAAAGGAAUUGACGGGGCCCCGCACAAGCGGCGGAGCAUGCGGAUUAAUUCGAUGCAACGCGUAGAACCUUACCUGGGUUUGACAUGGAUCGGGAGUGCUCAGAGAUGGGUGUGCCUCUUUUGGGGUCGGUUCACAGGUGGUGCAUGGCUGUCGUCAGCUCGUGUCGUGAGAUGUUGGGUUAAGUCCCGCAACGAGCGCAACCCUUGUUCACUGUUGCCAGCACGUUAUGGUGGGGACUCAGUGGAGACCGCCGGGGUCAACUCGGAGGAAGGUGGGGAUGACGUCAAGUCAUCAUGCCCCUUAUGUCCAGGGCUUCACGCAUGCUACAAUGGCUGGUACAGAGAGUGGCGAGCCUGUGAGGGUGAGCGAAUCUCGGAAAGCCGGUCUCAGUUCGGAUUGGGGUCUGCAACUCGACCUCAUGAAGUCGGAGUCGCUAGUAAUCGCAGAUCAGCAACGCUGCGGUGAAUACGUUCCCGGGGCU
RNAcentral lists this ribosomal RNA (1346 nucleotides) under uncultured bacterium. RNAcentral's name for it is "partial 16S ribosomal RNA". It matches the Rfam family "Bacterial small subunit ribosomal RNA", at positions 28 to 1381 of the family's 1533-position model. The record is from RNAcentral.